RNAcentral lists this transfer RNA (75 nucleotides) under Candidatus Giovannonibacteria bacterium RIFCSPHIGHO2_01_FULL_43_100. RNAcentral describes it as "tRNA-Phe". It matches the Rfam family "tRNA". Rfam says of the family: Transfer RNA (tRNA) molecules are approximately 80 nucleotides in length. Their secondary structure includes four short double-helical elements and three loops (D, anti-codon, and T loops). The record is from RNAcentral. Lineage: Bacteria; Candidatus Giovannoniibacteriota. RNAcentral also lists the same sequence under 5 other names.
GCCGUGGUAGCUCAGUGGUAGAGCAUUCCCCUGAAGAGGGAUUGGUCGGGUGUUCGAUUCACCCCCGCGGCACCA